RNAcentral lists this unclassified non-coding RNA (310 nucleotides) under Psilocybe cubensis. Its description in RNAcentral is "partial contains 5.8S ribosomal RNA, internal transcribed spacer 2, and large subunit ribosomal RNA". Lineage: Eukaryota; Fungi; Basidiomycota; Agaricomycetes; Agaricales; Agrocybaceae. The record is from RNAcentral.
CGCACCUUGCGCUCCUUGGUAUUCCGAGGAGCAUGCCUGUUUGAGUGUCAUUAAAUUCUCAACCUUACCAGCUUUUGUUAGCUUGUGUAAUGGCUUGGACUUGGGGGUUUAUUUUGCCGGCUUCUUACCAAGUCAGCUCCCCUUAAAUGCAUUAGCCGGCUGCCCGCUGUGGACCGUCUAUUGGUGUGAUAAUUAUCUACGCCGUGGAUGUCUACUAUUAAUGGGUUGAAGCUGCUUCAAACCGUCUGUUUACUCAGACAAUUAAUGACAAUUUGACCUCAAAUCAGGUAGGACUACCCGCUGAACUUAA